UCAACGGAGAGUUUGAUCCUGGCUCAGAACGAACGCUGGCGGCGUGGAUAAGGCAUGCAAGUCGAACGCGAAAGUCACCUUCGGGUGAUGAGUAGAGUGGCAAACGGGUGAGUAACA
RNAcentral lists this ribosomal RNA (117 nucleotides) under Candidatus Omnitrophota bacterium. RNAcentral describes it as "partial 16S ribosomal RNA". It matches the Rfam family "Bacterial small subunit ribosomal RNA", at positions 1 to 115 of the family's 1533-position model. The record is from RNAcentral. Lineage: Bacteria; Pseudomonadati; Candidatus Omnitrophota.